UGGGGAAUAUUGCACAAUGGGCGCAAGCCUGAUGCAGCCAUGCCGCGUGUGUGAAGAAGGCCUUCGGGUUGUAAAGCACUUUCAGCGGGGAGGAAGGCGAUAAGGUUAAUAACCUUGUCGAUCGACGUUACCCGCAGAAGAAGCACCGGCUAACUCCGUGCCAGCAGCCGCGGUAAUACGGAGUGUGCAAGCGUUAAUCGGAAUUACUGGGCGUAAAGCGCACGCAGGCGGUCUGUCAAGUCGGAUGUGAAAUCCCCGGGCUCAACCUGGGAACUGCAUUCGAAACUGGCAGGCUAGAGUCUUGUAGAGGGGAGUAGAAUUCCAGGUGUAGCGGUGAAAUGCGUAGAGAUCUGGAGGAAUACCGGUGGCGAAGGCGGACCCCUGGACAAAAACUGACGCUCAGGUGCGAAAGCGUGGGUAGCAAACAGG
Molecule: ribosomal RNA, 429 nt
Filed under: Chloroflexota bacterium
Lineage: Bacteria; Bacillati; Chloroflexota
Description: Chloroflexi bacterium partial 16S ribosomal RNA
Rfam family: Bacterial small subunit ribosomal RNA
Source: RNAcentral